GCACAAGCGGUGGAGCAUGUGGUUUAAUUCGACGCAACGCGCAGAACCUUACCAGCCCUUGACAUGUCUGGGACCGGUCGCAGAGACGCGACCUUCUCUUCGGAGCCCGGAACACAGGUGCUGCAUGGCUGUCGUCAGCUCGUGUCGUGAGAUGUUGGGUUAAGUCCCGCAACGAGCGCAACCCCCGUCCUUAGUUGCUACCAUUUAGUUGAGCACUCUAAGGAGACUGCCGGUGAUAAGCCGCGAGGAAGGUGGGGAUGACGUCAAGUCCUCAUGGCCCUUACGGGCUGGGCUACACACGUGCUACAAUGGCGGUGACAAUGGGACGCUAAGGGGCAACCCUUCGCAAAUCUCAAAAAGCCGUCUCAGUUCGGAUUGGGCUCUGCAACUCGAGCCCAUGAAGUUGGAAUCGCUAGUAAUCGUGGAUCAGCAUGCCACGGUGAAUACGUUCCCGGGC
Molecule: ribosomal RNA, 457 nt
Filed under: uncultured bacterium
Lineage: Bacteria
Description: bacterial SSU rRNA
Rfam family: Bacterial small subunit ribosomal RNA
Source: RNAcentral